RNAcentral lists this ribosomal RNA (428 nucleotides) under uncultured Glomeromycotina. RNAcentral's name for it is "SSU rRNA". It matches the Rfam family "Eukaryotic small subunit ribosomal RNA", at positions 569 to 1003 of the family's 1831-position model. Lineage: Eukaryota; Fungi; Glomeromycota. The record is from RNAcentral.
AGCAGCCGCGGUAAUUCCAGCUCCAAUAGCGUACAUUAAAGUUGUUGCAGUUAAAAAGCUCGUAGUUGAAUUUCGGGAUCAAGGUGCCGGUCAUGCCUUUGGUAUGUACUGACAUCAUUGAUUUCUCCUUUCUGAUGAACUGUGAUGUCAUUAAUUUGGUGUCAUGGAGAAUCAGGACUGUUACUUUGAAAAAUUAGAGUGUUUAAAGCAAGCACACGCUUGAAUACAUUAGCAUGGAAUAAUGAAAUAGGACGUUUGAUCCUAUUUGUUGGUUUCUAGGAUCGACGUAAUGAUUAAUAGGGAUAGUUGGGGGCAUUAGUAUUCAAUUGUCAGAGGUGAAAUUCUUGGAUUUAUUGAAGACUAACUACUGCGAAAGCAUUUGCCAAGGAUGUUUUCAUUAAUCAAGAACGAAAGUUAAGGGAUCGAAG